This 100-nucleotide transfer RNA is filed under the name Dactylellina haptotyla CBS 200.50. It matches the Rfam family "tRNA". Rfam says of the family: Transfer RNA (tRNA) molecules are approximately 80 nucleotides in length. Their secondary structure includes four short double-helical elements and three loops (D, anti-codon, and T loops). Further hydrogen bonds mediate the characteristic L-shaped molecular structure. tRNAs have two regions of fundamental functional importance: the anti-codon, which is responsible for specific mRNA codon recognition, and the 3' end, to which the tRNAs corresponding amino acid is attached (by aminoacyl-tRNA synthetases). tRNAs cope with the degeneracy of the genetic code in two manners: having more than one tRNA (with a specific anti-codon) for a particular amino acid; and 'wobble' base-pairing, i.e. permitting non-standard base-pairing at the 3rd anti-codon position. Lineage: Eukaryota; Fungi; Ascomycota; Orbiliomycetes; Orbiliales; Orbiliaceae. The record is from Rfam by way of RNAcentral.
GCUCCUAUAGCUCAGUUGGUAGAGCGCGACACUAGUAGUCAUCUGCAGGUGGAAAGGUUGAGAAAUGUCGAGGUCUACGGUUCAAAUCCGUAUGGGAGCA